GCCUAUCUAGCUUAGUUGGUAAAGCGCAAGGCUCUUGAUCUUGAGGUUGUGGGUUUGAACUACACGGUGGGUG
Molecule: transfer RNA, 73 nt
Filed under: Zea mays
Lineage: Eukaryota; Viridiplantae; Streptophyta; Magnoliopsida; Poales; Poaceae
Rfam family: tRNA
About the family: Transfer RNA (tRNA) molecules are approximately 80 nucleotides in length. Their secondary structure includes four short double-helical elements and three loops (D, anti-codon, and T loops).
Source: Rfam by way of RNAcentral